UUAAAUGAGAGUUUGAUCCUGGCUCAGGAUAAACGCUGGCGGCGUGCAUAACACAUGCAAGUCGAACGAUGAAGGUUUUAAGAUUUCUUCGGAAUGAUUAAAAGUGGAUUAGUGGCGAACGGGUGAGUAACACGUGAGUAACCUGCCUUACACAAGGGGAUAGCCUUUGGAAACGAAGAAUAAUACCCUAUAAAGUCAAAUCAUCGCAUGAUGGAAUGACCAAAGAAUAUAUAUCGGUGUAAGAUGGACUUGCGUCUGAUUAGCUAGUUGGUGAGAUAAAAGCCCACCAAGGCAACGAUCAGUAGCCGGCUUGAGAGAGUGUACGGCCACAUUGGGACUGAGACACGGCCCAAACUCCUACGGGAGGCAGCAGUGGGGAAUUUUGCACAAUGGGGGAAACCCUGAUGCAGCGACGCCGCGUGAUUUAGAAGGCCUUCGGGUUGUAAAAAUCUUUUUUAUGGGAUGAAAAUGACAGUACCAUAAGAAUAAGGUCCGGCUAAAUACGUGCCAGCAGCCGCGGUAAUACGUAUGGACCGAGCGUUGUCCGGAAUCAUUGGGCGUAAAGGGUACGUAGGCGGCCUAGUAAGUUAGAAGUGAAAGAACAUAGCUCAACUAUGUAUAGCUUUUAAAACUGCUAAGCUUGAGAGAUGGAAGGGAAAGUGGAAUUCCUAGUGUAGCGGUGAAAUGCGCAGAUAUUAGGAAGAAUACCGGUGGCGAAGGCGACUUUCUGGUCAUCAUCUGACGCUGAGGUACGAAAGCGUGGGUAGCAAACAGGAUUAGAUACCCUGGUAGUCCACGCUGUAAACGAUGAGUGUUAGGUUCUUGGAAUAAUCUGGGAGCCGCAGCUAACGCAUUAAACACUCCGCCUGGGGAGUACGCACGCAAGUGUGAAACUCAAAGGAAUUGACGGGGACCCGCACAAGCAGCGGAGCAUGUGGUUUAAUUCGACGCAACGCGAAGAACCUUACCAAGUCUUGACAUAUUACGGAGGAAUCUAGAGAUAGAUACUUAGGACUUCGGUCUACUGUAAUACAGGUGGUGCAUGGUUGUCGUCAGCUCGUGUCGUGAGAUGUUGGGUUAAGUCCCAUAACGAGCGCAACCCCUAUCGUUAGUUACCAUCAUUAAGUUGGGGACUCUAGCGAUACUGCCGGUGAUAAACCGGAGGAAGGUGGGGACGACGUCAAAUCAUCAUGCCCUUUAUGACUUGGGCUACACACGUGCUACAAUGGCAGGUACAGAGGGAAGCGAGAGGGCGACCUUAAGCAAAACUCAAAAAACCUGUCCCAGUUCGGAUUGCACUCUGCAACUCGAGUGCAUGAAGUUGGAGUUGCUAGUAAUCGCGAAUCAGAAUGUCGCGGUGAAUGCGUUCCCGGGUCUUGUACACACCGCCCGUCACACCAUGGAAGUUGGCAAUACCCGAAGCCUGUGAGCGAACCUUUUAGGACGCAGCAGUCGAAGGUAGGGUCAGUAACUGGGGUGAAGUCGUAACAAGGUAGCCGUAUCGGAAGGUGCGGCUGGAUCACCUCCUUUCUAA
RNAcentral lists this ribosomal RNA (1534 nucleotides) under Anaerococcus faecalis. RNAcentral's name for it is "bacterial SSU rRNA". It matches the Rfam family "Bacterial small subunit ribosomal RNA". Lineage: Bacteria; Bacillati; Bacillota; Tissierellia; Tissierellales; Peptoniphilaceae. The record is from RNAcentral.